GAUGAACGCUGGCGGCGUGCCUAAUACAUGCAAGUCGAGCGAACAGACGAGGCGCUUGCGCCUCUGACGUUAGCGGCGGGCGGGUGAGUAACACGUGUAUAACCUACCUAUAAGACUGGGAUAACUUCGGGACACCGGAUCUAAUACCGUAUGAUAUCUUGAACCACAUGGUUCAAUAGUGAAAGACGGCUGUUCUGGCACUUAUAGCUGGAUACGCGCCGCAUUAGCUAGUUGGUAAGGUAACGGCCUAUCAAGGCGACGAUGCGUAGCCGACCUGACAGGCGGAUCGGCCACACGGGAGGUGAAACACGGUCAAGACGCCUACGGGACGCAGCAGUAGGGUAACUUACGCAAUAGGCGAAAGCCUGACGGAGCAACGCCGCGUGAGUGAUGAAGGUCUUCGGAUCGUAAAACUCUGUUAUUAGGGAAGAACAAAUGUGUAAGUAACUAUGCACGGCUUGACGGUACCGAAUCAGAAAGCCACGGCUAACUACGUG
Molecule: ribosomal RNA, 497 nt
Filed under: uncultured bacterium
Lineage: Bacteria
Description: partial 16S ribosomal RNA
Rfam family: Bacterial small subunit ribosomal RNA
Source: RNAcentral